GUGAGGAAUAUUGGUCAAUGGGCGAAAGCCUGAACCAGCCAUGCCGCGUGCAGGAAGACGGUCCUAUGGAUUGUAAACUGCUUUUAUUUGGGAAUAAACCUCUUUACGUGUAGAGAGCUGAAGGUACCAAAUGAAUAAGCACCGGCUAACUCCGUGCCAGCAGCCGCGGUAAUACGGAGGGUGCAAGCGUUAUCCGGAAUCAUUGGGUUUAAAGGGUCCGCAGGCGGUCUUAUAAGUCAGUGGUGAAAGCCUACAGCUCAACUGUAGAACUGCCAUUGAUACUGUAGGACUUGAAUUCGGUCGAAGUGGGCGGAAUAUGACAUGUAGCGGUGAAAUGCUUAGAUAUGUCAUAGAACACCGAUAGCGAAGGCAGCUCACUAGGCCUGGAUUGACGCUCAGGGACGAAAGCGUGGGGAGCAA
This 420-nucleotide ribosomal RNA is filed under the name uncultured Fluviicola sp. RNAcentral describes it as "bacterial SSU rRNA". It matches the Rfam family "Bacterial small subunit ribosomal RNA", at positions 354 to 771 of the family's 1533-position model. The record is from RNAcentral. Lineage: Bacteria; Pseudomonadati; Bacteroidota; Flavobacteriia; Flavobacteriales; Crocinitomicaceae.